RNAcentral lists this ribosomal RNA (450 nucleotides) under uncultured bacterium. RNAcentral describes it as "partial 16S ribosomal RNA". It matches the Rfam family "Bacterial small subunit ribosomal RNA", at positions 354 to 796 of the family's 1533-position model. The record is from RNAcentral.
GUCGAGAAUAAUUCACAAUGGGGGAAACCCUGAUGGUGCAACGCCGCGUGGAGGAUGAAGGUCUUCGGAUUGUAAACUCCUGUCAUCCGGGAGCAAGACCUGACGGUGAAUAGCCGGCAGGGUUGAUAGUAUCGGAAGAGGAAGGGACGGCUAACUUCGUGCCAGCAGCCGCGGUAAUACGAAGGUCCCAAGCGUUGUUCGGAAUCACUGGGCGUAAAGGGAGCGUAGGCUGCGCGGUAAGUCAGGUGUGAAAUCCCGGGGCUCAACCCCGGAACUGCACCCGAGACUGCCGUGCUAGAGGGUUGGAGAGGUGAAUGGAAUUCUCGGUGUAGCAGUGAAAUGCGUGGAUAUCGAGAGGAACACUCGUGGCGAAGGCGAGUCACUGGACAACAUCUGACGCUGAGGCUCGAAGGCCAGGGGAGCAAAAGGGAUUAGAAACCCCGGUAGUCC